RNAcentral lists this ribosomal RNA (423 nucleotides) under uncultured bacterium. RNAcentral's name for it is "bacterial SSU rRNA". It matches the Rfam family "Bacterial small subunit ribosomal RNA", at positions 207 to 622 of the family's 1533-position model. The record is from RNAcentral.
AAGACCUUGCGCUUUUGGAGCGGCCGAUGUCUGGUUAGCUUGUUGGUGAGGUAAAAGCUUACCAAGGCUUCGAUCAGUAGCUGGUCUGAGAGGACGGCCAGCCACACUGGGACUGAGACACGGCCCAGACUCCUACGGGAGGCAGCAGUGGGGAAUUUUGGACAAUGGGGGCAACCCUGAUCCAGCCAUGCCGCGUGAGUGAAGAAGGCCUUCGGGUUGUAAAGCUCUUUCAGCCGGAACGAAACGGUUACGGUUAAUACCCGUGAUUACUGGCGGUACCGGAAGAAGAAGCACCGGCUAACUACGUGCCAGCAGCCGCGGUAAUACGUAGGGUGCGAGCGUUAAUCGGAAUUACUGGGCGUAAAGCGUGCGCAGGUGGUUUUGUAAGUCAGAUGUGAAAGCCCCGGGCUCAACCUGGGAACU